Tinamus guttatus (white-throated tinamou) is the source of this 73-nucleotide non-coding RNA. The record is from Rfam. NCBI's taxonomy places the organism in Eukaryota, Metazoa, Chordata, Aves, Tinamiformes, Tinamidae.
UGGCCAGGGAUGAAAAUGAUAAUGCUGAUUACUUGCUAAUUGCUUGAUGGACUAAAGGAUUUUUCUGAGGCCA